Callithrix jacchus (white-tufted-ear marmoset) is the source of this 7601-nucleotide long non-coding RNA. RefSeq lists it as uncharacterized. Lineage: Eukaryota; Metazoa; Chordata; Mammalia; Primates; Cebidae. The record is from RefSeq and is a predicted model, not a curated record.
CAAAGUUGCCAGGGAUGGUGGUGCACACCUGUAGUCCCAACUACUUCGGAGGCUCAGGUGGAAGGAUCUCUUGAGCCCAAGAGGUGGAGGCUGUGGGGAGCUACGAUUGUGCCUCUGCCCUCCAGCCUAGCGACAGAGAUAUAGGACCAACAGGUCCUAUAUGCAUAUCCACGGAUCUGCCUUCUGUGCGGUAACAAACCCAUUACACGAAGACAGGAGAGUUUGCAGCAGGGAAAGAGUUUAAUGAUUGCAGGGUAUCUAGCAAAGGAUGGGAAAAGACCUUCAAAUCCAUCUUCCGAAUAGUUCUGGGCUGAGGUUUUUACAAGGAUCACAGAGGGUGAGGGGCUGGAAAAUUGGGGUCGUUGAUUGGUCAGAAUAAGGGAGAUGAAAUCAUCAUGAUAGGGAAACUUCAUUCUUUGCUGAGUUAGUUUCUCAUGGGGUUCCUCAGACCAGCUGGCAUCAGUGGGAUCUUUCAGGCCAGCUGGGCAGUAGUUUCAUUGGUAUCCAGGAUCUGAAAGACUGUCUCAAAGGGAAAACUUAGUAUUUCAUAAUGUUCAAGUUGUUCUCUCUAGAGCAAUGGAAGAGAACUAUAAUCUUGUGACAGGACAGUAGGCCCCAAACAACUGUGAGGAAGCAGGUCAGAGAGGAAGCUGACCUCAUGAUUAAUGCCAAAUUGGCUGCAAGCUUGGUUUAUUUUUGUCCCCCCCACCAACCAAUUUGUUUCCUGAUUAAUUUUAUAAAGUUUAUAGGAAUGGUUUUAGAAUGACGGGAAAAAAAGGAAAUUUGGACUUAAAACUUCAAAUUCCUUACCUGGGCCUAGCUCAAUCUGGCCCUACCCACCUCCUCUGUGACCUCAAAUCACCCUCACUUCUGGCUGCUCUUUUGCCAGACUGGGCUCAGAGAUUUUGGAGGGCCCCCUUUCUUUGUCUGGAACAUUGUUUCCCCGGACCUCUGCAUAAGCCUGCCCUUUGUCACUUAAAUCUCAGCUUGGGCUGGGAAUGAUGGCUCAUGCCUGUAAUCCUAGCAUUUUGGGAGGCCGAGGUGGGUGGAUCACCUGAGGUCAGGAGUUCGAGACCAGCCUGGCCAAUAUGGUGAAACCCUAUCUUUACUAAAAAUACAAAAAAUUAGCCGGAUGUGGUGGCAGACACCUGUAAUCCCAACUCCUCAGGAGCCUGAGGCAGGAGAAUCACUUGAGCCUGGGAGGCAGAGUUUGCAGUAAGCCGAGAUCACACCACUGCACUCCAGCCUGGGCAACAAGAGUGAAACUCCAUUAAAAAAAAAAACAAAACAGCCGGGCGUGGUGGCUCAAGCCUGUAAUCCCAGCACUUUGGGAGGCCGAGGCGGGUGGAUCACAAGGUCAAGAGAUCAAGACCAUCCUGGUCAACAUGGUGAAACCCCGUCUCUACUAAAAAUACAAAAAAUUAGCUGGGCAUGGUGGCGCGUGCCUGUAAUCCCAGCUACUCGGGAGGCUGAGGCAGGAGAAUUGCCUGAACCCAGGAGGUGGAGGUUGCGGUGAGCCGAGAUCAUGCCAUUGCACUCCAGCCUGGGUAACGAGAGCAAAACUCUGUGUCAAAAAAAAAAACAGCUCAAAUGUGAACUCCAGCUGUUUCUGAUCCUUCUACCCCACCUGCUGUGAACAACCUGAGGACAGACACCUGAUCUAUCUAGUUGACCACUCUGAGUAGGACCCAGUAAAUACUUCUUGAAUGAAUCAAAGUCCCUUUUCUCAAUGCAUGACAAUUCUUUAAAUUAGUGGUUCACAAAGACUGAUCCGGAUCACUUCGGGGGGCCCACAAGGUCAAACUAUAUUCAUAAGAAUAUGAAGACAUUAUUUACCUUUUUAAACUCUCAUUCAUAUAUAGUGCAGUUUUCCAGAGGCUAUAUAAUUUUUUUUUAACAGGAUCUCACUCGGUUACCCAGGCUGGAAUGCAGUGGCAUGAUCAUAACGCACUCUAAUCUCAAGCUCCUGUUCUUAGGUGAUACUCCCCAGGUAGUCCUGGCUAAUUUUAUUUUAUUUUAUUUGUAGAGACAGGGUCUCCCUGUGUUUUGCUGGCUGGUCUCGAACUCCUAGCCUCAAGUGAUCCUUCUGCCUUAGCCUUCCAAAACACUGGGAUUAUAGGCAUGACCCACCAUACCCAGCCAUGAUGAUUGAAUGUGGAAGCACUUAUAAGUAUCCUGCUGCCUUUUAUUAAACCAAGCAUUUAAAAAUUGCAAAAAUGUAAAGCAAUGUUCUCAUAAAUUUUCUGGAAAAAAUAUUUUUUUAAUGCUAUACAUGUUAAUACAUAAUAAGUUAUUGUUACCUUUGAAUGAAUGAGUAUUAAAACCCUCAGUAUUAAUAUAUAUAACAUGUAAAUAAAAGGUCUUCUAGCUUCUCAAUAAUGUUUUUAAGAGGAUAAUGGGGUCCCAAGACCAAAAGUUUGAUAACUGUAGCUUUGAAUUAUUAUUUAGAGCUCCUAUGUGUCAGUCUAUAGGCCAAAUACUAGGAAUACUAAUGUGAAAGGCCAUGAGGUAUUUUUCUCAGAUUGAAGAGGGUAAUGGAGACAAAAGAGCAUGAGUGUACACAUAUUAAGGGGGACUCCAAUGAGUCAUACCCUUGUAUUAUCUCCUCCCCAUGAGUGUGGUUGGGACCUGUGAAUUUGCUUCUAGCCAAUAGAAUAUGGCAAAGGUGAUGAAAUGUCAUUCCCAUGACUGCUUUGUUAUAAAAGACUUGGUCUCAGCCAACUGGAGUGAGAAAGACCCUCCCGCUUGCCUUGAAGAAGCCAGUUGCUAGGCUGGGCUGGGUGGCCCAUGCCUGUAAUCCCAGCACUUUGGGAGGACAAGGCAGGUGGAUCACCACAGGUCAGGAGUUUGAGACCAUCCUGGCCAACAUGGUGAAACCCUGUCUCUACUAAAGAUACAAAAAUUAGCCAGGCAUGGUGGCAGGCACCGGUAAUCCCAGCUACUUGGGAGGCUGAGACAGGAGAAUGGCUUGAACCUGGGAGGUGGAGGUUGCAGUGAGCAGAGAUCCCGUAUUGCACUCCAGCCUGGAUGACAAGGGUGAAACUCCAUCUUAAAAAAAAAAGGAAGCCAGCUGCUAUGAUAAGAAUUAGUACCAGAGCCCUUCAUCCUCUAGGUGCAAAGAACUGAAAUUUGUCAACAAUCUGAAUGAGCUUGGAAGUGGAUCUUUCCCAGGUUGAGCUUCUGAUGAGGCUAAAGUCUUAGGAAAUAUCUGGAUUGCAGCCUGGUAAGACCCUGAAGUGGAGAACACAGAGUCUCACUGUGUCACCCAGGCUGAAGUGCAAUGACGCCAUCUCAGCUCAGUGUAACCUCUGCCUCCUGUGCUCAAGCGCGAUCCUCCCACCUCAGCCUCCCCAGUAGCUGAGUCUACAGUGGCACCAGAGGCAAGAAUUUGGUCAGACAUGCCAAUCCAGAUUAGAGGAAAUGGACCGCAGAGGAGCCGGACGUCUUUGCCUCUCAUGGUCUGCAAGUCUUUGAUUCCCCUUCUCCUCCUCCUCCCUUCAAACCCCUCCAACAAUCUUGAACAUACCUCUGACUUCUGUUUAUCUGACACUUGCUGACAAAUCUUCUUGGAAGCUGCUGGUCCAUUUAACCAUGUCACAGCCAUAUCAUGGCCACCAAGACACACCACAGCAUUGUAAGGGCCCCGAAGAAAACAUACCAUAAAAUUAAAUAAAGCUGGGUAUUUGCAAAUAAAGUUUUUAAAAACCCUUAUUUGAUUAAAACAAUGCAGUUUGAUCUCAUUUACUUCUAAGCUAUUUAACUGAAUUGAGCAUAUUUGUAUUUUUCCAAAUUCAGUAGAUCAGACUUGAAUCUCUCAUCCCACAAACAAGGAUGCCCCAGAUAAGUCUCAGUGAUUAUUGUAUGUUGCUGUGGCCACAAAUUCACCUUCUGUUAUGUUGGAGUGACAUUCAAACUGUUCUGGACAAAAUGCCAGUACUCCUUCUAAAACCAGUGUAAUCAUGAUGUGUUGAGAUAUGCCUUCAACAGGUAGCCGAGGAGUCCUAGCUUUCUGGAGUUGUUGCCCUCUGCUACUGGCUUUCAACUUUCACUCCCAUCCCAGGCACUGUGGGUGGCUUUACCUUGGUUUUGAAUUCAUUUGGUCCUGAGCAUUUGUGGAGUCUUGCUUCGUAUCCCUGGGGAUCAUUAGCAAUACCCUGGGUGUGAAGUGCUGGGGGAUACCUGUUUCCAAGCUGUGGUCUCUUUCUCAGCGUAGUAGUUAGAACCACUGGUCAGUAAAUGGUGUUUCAAAAAGCCUCAGAGCUUUGUAAUUCUACAAAUAGUGUAAAACAGGCCCCUUUGGAGUGACUCUGCAGCACUGCCUCGUAAGAGUUACGGGAAAUGAUUGGCUCUGUGUUCAGAAGGGAAUAAAUGUUGGAUGUUUUAUCUCCUGAUUGGAUGUACAGAAGCUGCCCUUGAUUUGCAGCUGAGGUCCCCGUUGGCCUCAGAAGCUCCAAAAACAUCUUAGCUAGAAAUGACAUUAAGUCAGGGCUGCUAGAUGGGUACUCCGCAGGCCUUCUGGAGCAGUGUUUCAGUGGGCCUUUAGAGUCUGUCUGCCGUGUAAUGUAUUGUGGCCUUGAAGACAUUAAUGCAGCAUCUGAAAGGGUCCAGCACAAAGGAGGGGUGGAGAUGCCCCCAGCACAAAAAAGAGGGGCUGCCUCCUUGCCUCUCAGACCUCCAUCACCAGUGAUCCAGAAGAAUGAGUUCCUUUCCUGAGACUGCGCUGAAGAGCUCUAGCCUCUUUUAUUUUUGCUUUUGGUGGGUAACUGCUGCUAAACCCAGUGUCAAAUGGGCUUUUUAGACAUGCAAAGAAGGAUUUUGUUGUGUCCCCUUGGGCUGAAUACUAACAGUUUCUUUAUUUGUGAAAUAAAAACAAUAAUAAUGACACUGCCUGUGGAAAUAAAUGAAAUAAUGUGUGUAAGGGGCUUGGCACAAAGAUGGCCUGUAUCAAGUUCUCAAUUAAUAGUGGCAUCAACAUUAGGAGAGAAGUUUGCUUUCAUAGUUACCUGUAUGGGAUGACUUUAAUUGUUUCUUGUCUAAAAGUGAAUGUACUCCCCUGACUCUGAUAUGUGAAAUUUUGUAACUAAGGAUUCACUCCUUAAAAUCAAAAUGUCUUGGUAAGUGUAAACAGUUCUGUGAAAGAGAACAUUCAGGCUUGGCAACCACUUACAAGUUAAUGAGAAUAAACUUAACAGAUUUUGAUAGGGAGAGAUAAGGGCAGUGAGUAUUUUGGGAAGAGAAAGAGUUCCCGCUGAGUAGUGGAAAGGUGAAGAGAUACUCCAAAUCCAGAGAUAGGGCAGGCUACCCUGUUAAGUAAGUGCCUCUAUUUCCUUGGGUUUGUGUCCUUUUGAGACAGGUCAUCUAAUGACCCAUACAUAUUUAGUCCCAUGGUUCUCUCGCUCCAUUAUUAACCAUUUAUUCAUUUCUUUGCUUGAAUUAGCACAAGACUGGACACAGAAUGAGGGCAAGAACCCCAGCUAUGCUUGUACUACUGCAUGUGCAAUGCCUUCCUAAAUACUUAUCUUUGAAGAGAGGCAUAUAGAUACAGUGUUACAUAAAUAUAAUUGAAAGUACAUAUGGUUGAAAGUAUAUGUCCUUGAUAUUUCCAUUCUGAAGAGUAUAUUCUUUCAGAAGACAGCUGAUGGCUUGUCUAGUUAAAUGUACUUAUUUUACAAAGAGGAAUUUAAGGCUGAAAUGGGGAAGUGAUUCUUCCCAGAUCUCCCAACUAAUUAGUGGCAGAACAGGACUAAAUCUGGGGUCUUUUGUUCCAAAAUGGUAUUUACAAUGUAGAAUUCAGCAUACCAAGUAGUCAAAUAAUGAAGGUCUGGGACAACUAAGUUGGUCCAAUAUAUAUCUGCAGAUUUUAUCUGGAGUCAAGUAUGCAAAAAGAUACAAUUUAAUUGCAUUAAAAUGAUAUUUCCUAAAAUGAAUCUCUGCAGUUAGAAGUCAUAAUGUUAACUGUCCUUGCAGGAUGGGAGUGACCAAAACAGUCAUGAAGAGAGUUUCUGGGAUGCUGACCAUGGGCUGUUUCUUAAUCUGAUGCUAGCUUAAAUGGAUUAAUUUAUGAAAAAUUUGUCUAAGUCUAUGCUUGAUGAUUUGUGUAUAUGCUUUACUCUUUAAUUUUAAAAGCUCCCUUAAAGGUGUAUGUAUUGCCUAGGCGAAGUCUAUAUGCAAGAUGCUGUUUUACCCACAUUAAAGAAAGGAUUGAAACAAAUAGUGAUAGGAUAGAGGCUCGUAUUUUAGAAGGGUCAUAAUUAUGCGCCUCAGACCUUUAACUCCUUGGAAAUCCAGUUCUUCCAAAUCCGCAAAUUUAUUUUAAAAAUGUAACAGAUAAAAAUCUACCCCAUGGGAAUCUUUUGUUCAAACAAAUGAAAAAACACAGGGGGCCUCUAGGUUUCUGGUUAUUGCCCUGUGCUCCGGGUUAGAAAUGCUUGUUCCCUGUUUCUCCACUGUAUAACCUUAUUAUGUGCUGUUACCUGAUCUUCUUUUCACCCCAGGCAGUAAAGGGAGUGAUAAGUCCUCCUCAAGGUCUUGCAAGGACCUCAUAGGUGGAUGGAGGAGGGGCAGAGGUGCCAGAUGCACAGCUGAAUUGAGCAGAGCUAUUUCAGAUGUUCAGCCUGUUCCUAUACUUCUGCUCCUCACAGUGUGAAUGGCAUGUGUGUGCCAGGCAGGUCCAAACAUAUUUUCUUGAAAUAAAUGUUAGCACAGAAGGGAGUGGGAAUUAAUGGGUUUUUAUCUAGAAAUAGAAGGAGUAGGCGGCUGCAUGCUAUUGAUGUGGAACUGACCGUAGCCUACCACCAACUUCUCAUUCUUUGAUCUUCUGCCAUGAUUUCCACUUUAAAAAAUUUCAAUUAAUGCUUUACUGAGGAAAAUACGGCAUGCUUAAUGGCCCACCAGAGUAAAUGCAGCUCUUGCAGUUUUAUAGAUUUUUUAAAUCUAAAUUACUUAUAGAAAAUCUGAAAAUAGCUAUCAGCUUUCUAGAAAUAUUGUGAUAGUUGUCUCAGGUUCUGUAUUCCCAUUCAUUGCAUACUUUCUUCUUCUUUUAAUAUUACAACUCACUUUAUGAAGUUAUUCUUUUUCUUUGCAUUUUUGAGAGUUGCUCAAAAAUUCUUUUGAAGUGUAUUUUUAAAAAAAUAUUUUUAAAUUCUUUUAUAAACACGGGGGUUUCACCAUGUUGGUCAGGCUGGUUUAGAACUCCCGACCUCAGGUGAUUCUCCUGCCUUGGCCUCCAAAGUGCUUGGAUUACAGGCGUGAGCCACCAUGCCUGUCCUCAAGUGUAUUAAUGAUUCCUUCAAUUUCACUUUUCCUUUUCUGGUUGGAAUAAGAAAAAUAUUUAUUAUUUUACAUAUAUAGAUACAUUUUAGAAAUGAAAAAUACUCUGCUUACAUAGUUGAAACAUUAAGAAGUGGCAACAGCCCUUGUCAACAUUUCAAUUGGGUUCAUAUAAUCAUUUACUGCCAUUGGCUCCUUAUUUAAAGUGUGCAAAAAUGCCUUGGUCCCAGCUCUGUGCAUUUCAAGGCAGACCAAAAGACACCUAUGAGUAAAUAAAACUAAAUAGAAAUUCAAAGAACAAAUAUCUAAAUAUUAAAAAUAUUUACCAAUUU